GCCUACGGGGCGCAGCAGUAGGGAAUUUUCGUCAAUGGGCGCAAGCCUGAACGAGCAAUGCCGCGUGAACGAGGAGGGUCUUCGGAUCGUAAAGUUCUGUUGAAGGGGAAAAAGAGCGGAGAGAGGAAAUGGUCUCCGAUUGAUAUUACCCUUCGAGGAAGUCACGGCUAACUACGUGCCAGCAGCCGCGGUAAUACGUAGGUGGCGAGCGUUAUCCGGAAUGAUUGGGCGUAAAGGGUGCGUAGGCGGCCUGCUAAGUCCGGAGUGAAAGGUACCGGCUCAACCGGUACAGGCUCUGGAAACUG
RNAcentral lists this ribosomal RNA (305 nucleotides) under uncultured bacterium. Its description in RNAcentral is "bacterial SSU rRNA". It matches the Rfam family "Bacterial small subunit ribosomal RNA", at positions 337 to 635 of the family's 1533-position model. The record is from RNAcentral.